RNAcentral lists this ribosomal RNA (530 nucleotides) under uncultured Bacteroidota bacterium. RNAcentral describes it as "bacterial SSU rRNA". It matches the Rfam family "Bacterial small subunit ribosomal RNA", at positions 100 to 628 of the family's 1533-position model. Lineage: Bacteria; Pseudomonadati; Bacteroidota. The record is from RNAcentral.
AGACGGGUGAGGAACACGUACGCAACUUUCCUCAAACCGGGGCACAACCUUGAGAAAUCAGGGCUAAUUCCCCAUAACAUUGCGAGAGGGCAUCUGAUUGCAAUUAAAGAUUCGUCGGUUUGAGAUGGGCGUGCGUUCGAUUAGCUAGUUGGUAGGGUAACGGCUUACCAAGGCAACGAUCGAUAGCUGGUGUGAGAGCACGACCGGCCACACGGGCACUGAGAUACGGGCCCGACUCCUACGGGAGGCAGCAGUAAGGAAUAUUGGUCAAUGGACGAAAGUCUGAACCAGCCAUGCCGCGUGAAGGAUGAAGGCCCUCUGGGUUGUAAACUUCUUUUAUCUAUGAAGAAAUGUCCUGUUUCUACGGGAUUUGGCGGUAAUAGAUGAAUAAGCACCGGCUAACUCCGUGCCAGCAGCCGCGGUAAUACGGAGGGUGCAAGCGUUAUCCGGAUUUACUGGAUUUAAAGGGUGCGUAGGUGGGUUGGUAAGUCAGUGGUGAAAUACUUUCGCUUAACGAAGGAACUGCCAUU